RNAcentral lists this ribosomal RNA (254 nucleotides) under uncultured bacterium. RNAcentral describes it as "partial 16S ribosomal RNA". It matches the Rfam family "Bacterial small subunit ribosomal RNA", at positions 524 to 777 of the family's 1533-position model. The record is from RNAcentral.
UACGUAGGUGGCAAGCGUUGUCCGGAUUUACUGGGCGUAAAGAGCUCGUAGGCGGCUUGUCACGUCGGGUGUGAAAGCCCGGGGCUUAACCCCGGGAGGCGGGUGGAUACUGUCAAGCUCGAGUCCGGAAGAGGCGAGUGGAAUUCCUGGUGUAGCGGUGAAAUGCGCAGAUAUCAGGAGGAACACCAAUGGCGAAGGCAGCUCGCUGGGACGUGACUGACGCUGAGGCGCGAAAGCGUGGGGAGCAAACGGGG